RNAcentral lists this ribosomal RNA (378 nucleotides) under uncultured Lysobacteraceae bacterium. RNAcentral's name for it is "uncultured Xanthomonadaceae bacterium partial 16S ribosomal RNA". It matches the Rfam family "Bacterial small subunit ribosomal RNA", at positions 338 to 708 of the family's 1533-position model. The record is from RNAcentral. Lineage: Bacteria; Pseudomonadati; Pseudomonadota; Gammaproteobacteria; Lysobacterales; Lysobacteraceae.
CCUACGGGAGGCAGCAGUGGGGAAUAUUGGACAAUGGGCGCAAGCCUGAUCCAGCCAUACCGCGUGGGUGAAGAAGGCCUUCGGGUUGUAAAGCCCUUUUGUUGGGAAAGAAAUCCAGCCGGCUAAUACCUGGUUGGGAUGACGGUACCCAAAGAAUAAGCACCGGCUAACUUCGUGCCAGCAGCCGCGGUAAUACGAAGGGUGCAAGCGUUACUCGGAAUUACUGGGCGUAAAGCGUGCGUAGGUGGUUAUUUAAGUCCGUUGUAAAAGCCCUGGGCUCAACCGGGGAACUGCAGUGGAUACUGGAGGACUAGAAUGUGGUAGAGGGUAGCGGAAUUCCUGGUGUAGCAGUGAAAUGCGUAGAGAUCAGGAGGAACA